GACGGCUAGGGAUCAGCAUUCGUGGAUAGUUAUGUUCAUGGGGCACUGGAGUUACGUGGGUUUGGUUGACCGACAUGGAACAGGCAAAGUAAAUUAACAAUCCGAGCAUUCCAAGGUCCUUAGGUACUGGAAACACAGGAACUUGCUGGCUGGAGGGCGAGAGUGGUCAUGGUUACAUUAAUGAACUUAGUUAUCAGACAAUUAUUUAUUGAGAUUGUUGGAUAGUAUUUACAGUAUGAUACAUUAAUGCUUCCGCUGAACUUAUGGCUUUUGAACAACUUAUGUUUG
Molecule: long non-coding RNA, 288 nt
Filed under: Helianthus annuus (common sunflower)
Lineage: Eukaryota; Viridiplantae; Streptophyta; Magnoliopsida; Asterales; Asteraceae
Description: sRNA HanXRQr2_Chr14g0628131
Source: RNAcentral